This 253-nucleotide ribosomal RNA is filed under the name uncultured bacterium. RNAcentral describes it as "partial 16S ribosomal RNA". It matches the Rfam family "Bacterial small subunit ribosomal RNA", at positions 524 to 776 of the family's 1533-position model. The record is from RNAcentral.
UACGAAGGGGGCUAGCGUUGCUCGGAAUUACUGGGCGUAAAGCGCGCGUAGGCGGUCUUCCAAGUCGGGCGUGAAAGCCUCGGGCUCAACCCGGGAAUUGCGUUCGAUACUUGCGGACUUGAGGUCGGGAGAGGGUAGUGGAAUUCCCAGUGUAGAGGUGAAAUUCGUAGAUAUUGGGAAGAACACCAGUGGCGAAGGCGGCUACCUGGCCCGAAUCUGACGCUGAGGCGCGAAAGCGUGGGGAGCAAACAGG